This 31506-nucleotide long non-coding RNA is filed under the name Hordeum vulgare. RNAcentral's name for it is "long non-coding RNA (HVUL_LNC003233)". Lineage: Eukaryota; Viridiplantae; Streptophyta; Magnoliopsida; Poales; Poaceae. The record is from RNAcentral.
CCGCCCCCCCCGGCCCCGGCACGCCCGUCCCCGCCGCAGAACAGGUAGCGCAGGUGCGCCAUCACGCCGCUCCCCGGCGGCGGCGGCGCGCCGCCCCGGGACCUCUUGGCGCAGAGGAAUAUGUAGAAGCAGAGCACGAAGGAGAGGAAGAUGGCCAUCACGGCCGCCAGCAUGGUGGCCGCCGCCGCCGCCGUCGUCGCCGUCACCGCCAUGAACACCACCACCACCCUCGCUUCCUCUUCCAACAAGUAACAAGAAUCGCCUCGCCCCUGGUGCAAACGACAGCAGCAGCCGGCCUCUGCUCGCUCUCCUCGGAAUAUGCUCCUCGUCCUCGCAAGCUUCUAGGCAGCGCGUGCGUGCGUGCACAAGCGGGCUUUGGCUCUGGCUCGGGCUGGAGGUUUUCGAGGUGGGAAUGGGAUUUAACGUAAUGGAGCGCGCGCUGCUACUUAUACGGUGGCCGGAGAGGAUAAGAGGGAGGAGGAGAAGAAGAAAACUUGUGUGGGGAUUUGGAGGAGAGGGUGAGCGAACGGGCGAACUGUGGAGGGAAAGCUCGGAUGGCGACGGUUUUCAAAUAUGUUGACGCGAGCCAUAGGUGCUGAGCCUGAGCGGAGCGGGCAUGACCCGAGUGGGUUCGUUCGUUGGACGGACCUCCCCGCCACGGCCAUCCCCGUCGACCAAUCUCCCGCCCCGCGCGCCGCUGCACGGUUGCGCCAACGAUUUGGUGUUGGUGCAACCACACACCACGUCGGUAAACCCCCUGAAACCGACCGGUCGACGCACACGCGGCCCCGUACGUGGCGCCAGUUAAAAUAAUAUAAAGAGCAGAGGCAGUCACAGAUCCACUGACAGGCUGACUGACACGCAGCCCCCCAGUGAACUGACACGAAUUAUUUUACUACUAGUUGUACCCUGGUCUGAUGAUCAUGCUGAUUUAUUUCGUGGCUGGUUUGCUGCAGGACACACCGCCGGAUCAGGGGACACAUUUGGACGAACCCAACUGCCAGGGCCAGGAAACGUGGGCCGUAUGCCGGCAGCGCGUGUCACACGCCGGGUCCCGGGCCCGAUAGAUAGAUAGCUUGACGUGGAUACGUGGACCGAUGUGCUUGAAGCAAUGGAGCUGGAGCGGGCAUCAGCCAAGCCAAGCCAGGGUGCCCCGCCCCGGACUCCAUCCAUCCAUCGCAACGGGUGGACCACACAUCGCGGGAGGUUCGUUCGUUCGUUUCGUUGGUUGGUUGGUUCGGUAUAGCGGUUUGUUGCCCCCCUUCUUCUCCUUGCUGUCCCUUUCCCGUUGCGGGUAUGCGUCUCCGGAGCGCACAAGCGAGCGAUCGAAUUCAAUUCGAACCCGACCGGGCGAACGAACGAAUGCGCGAAUUGGUCCUGUCCGUGUGGUCGUGGCGGCAUCGGCUCGGCGUUUCCUGGAAGCAACUGGAUUGGUUGAGUGUGGCUCCAUCCCAAGUUAAGUUAAGUAAGAGUACCAAGCCGCCUUAUCUUACUUGGCUGGGAAUUCCGGGAAAGUUGACCGGCAUAUCUAAGUACCAAGCCAUCUGAACCUCGUUAACAAGAAUAUAGCUUAGUUUGGAUGGUUACUACUUGGUCACAUAACGCCCCGUCGAAAACGUACUCGCGUCCGGCCUCCGACGGGCGCGACCGAUCGAACGCCACAUGCAUGCAUGUGAUGUUCCUGUACAGCACUAAUAAGGCUUGAAUUGAUUUGAUUAGUAACUAUCAUCUCCGCAGAAAAAGACUUGUAUCGAUCGAAUAAAACUCUCCAGAUAAACCCGAGAACUACUAGUGCUGCCAACAAGUUGCCCAUCUCUCAUCCCUUGGGUUCGCUGCAUCGGCAGCCGACUCGCCGUCGGGGUCAGGGGCGGCAGCUAGCCCACGAACGCGGCUGGCCGGCGACCCAUGUCCNNNNNNNNNNNNNNNNNNNNNNNNNNNNNNNNNNNNNNNNNNNNNNNNNNNNNNNNNNNNNNNNNNNNNNNNNNNNNNNNNNNNNNNNNNNNNNNNNNNNGGGGGAGGACAGUGACGCGCGCGGUCUCCGGCCCCGUGCGCUGCUGCCCUGCUGAUGACGCCCAUGAUGAUGAUUCCGCCGUUGUUGAAAAAUCUGCGUGGUGUCUCCUAGACUUUUGAAUCGGGUCGGCUGAAACCCCGGGGGGAAAGUGCGGCACGCACGCGUCCAUCAUGCGGGAGGCCGCGCGCAGGCGCGCUGAUGCUCCUCCGUGGAUCGCUCUGCCGUUGCCUUUGACCGGCCGGCCCGGCCCGGGCCGCUGACGGCUCCAAAGCGGCUUUGCUGCACAACGGGAAAACAAAAGAAAAAAGAGCGGGUGCCUUUCUUCCGGUGGUUUUGCGGUUCUGGACAGGAAAGGAACGCCGCUUCUGAAAUCCCGAGCGUGCAGGCCGGGUACUCGCGUGAUUUCGUGCAAGUUGGCUGCUGUUUCUUUUUGCCGAUUUUGCACUGCAAAUCAUCCGGUCGCGUAGCAUGCUGACUGCGAGCCUUAACUUUUUAUUUGGGACAAGACUGCGGGCCUUAGAGGGUGUUUGUUUUCAGAAACUUAUUGGUUUAGGGACUUAAAAAUGUUUCUAUAAGUCCCACCUAAACCAAACACAAGGGACUUAUUCGGACUUAUUGUGGUGAUUUGAGACUUAUCAAAUAAGACUCUCAGGGAGGAGCUUAUUGAGACUUAUCCCGGGCUUAUGACUUAUAAGUUGAAACUUAAAAAAGUCUUAGGACUUAUGAAACAAAAAGGACCUUAUUAACUUAACUAAGAUAGCUGCUACAGCCCCUCGUCAUCACGAGCCCAGAGACCUGACAGAUAAAGGCCGUUGCAAGACUACGGCAAAAUUAACAAAAAUGACCCCUGGGGGGAAAGAACUCACGGAGUGACCCCUCGCGGAAAAAAUUUCACCCGCCUGACCCUUUUGUGUGGCGUCCGAAACCUAGGCGCCACACUACACUGUGUGACGCCUAGCCGUUCGGCGCCACACCCCCCGACCACCUGGCAGGGAGGGCCCAUCCCCCAGGCCGUGUGACGCCUGUCACACAUUGUAAUGUGUGGCGCCGAACGCUUAGACGUCACACAUUGACUUAACUGGCCACGGGCCAGCCCCCUCCCCCCCCCCUCCCCAUUNNNNNNNNNNNNNNNNNNNNNNNNNNNNNNNNNNNNNNNNNNNNNNNNNNNNNNNNNNNNNNNNNNNNNNNNNNNNNNNNNNNNNNNNNNNNNNNNNNNNUUGUGAAGCAUUUGCAUUAGUUGGUGUUGCACUUGUGUUGUGAACCAUUUACUUUUGUUGUGAACUAUUUCGAGUUGUGAACCAUUUAGUUGCUGUUGCACUUUUUGUGAACCAUUUAGUUACUGUUGCACUUGUUGGUGUUGCACUUGCUGUCUAAAUAUAUGAUGAUGAUGUUGUCAAAAAUGCUGUCUAAAUAUAUGAUGAUGUUGUUGUGAACCAUUUAUGUGCUGUCAAAAAUGCUGUAUUGCUGUCAAAAUUAAGCUUCCACAGGUUUUCACAUGUGUGGCGCCCACGGCUUAGGCGCCACACAUGUGCAACGCCUAAGCCUUAGGUGCCACACAUGUGCAACGCCCAAGGCUUAGGCGCCACACAUGUGAAAACCUACUGGCAUCUCAAAGCACACUAUUUCCCGCCACCUUUCCCUCCUCCGUUCCCGCCAAAAUUUCCACGUCUUCUUUCCCGCCACCAUUCCCUCCUCCGUUCCCGCCAAAAUUUCCACGUCUUCUUUCCCGCCACCUUUCCCUCCUCCGUUCCCGCCAAUAUUUCCGUGUCUUCUUUCUCGCCACCUUUCCCUCCUCCGUUCCCGCCAAAAUUUCCACGUAUCCUUUCCCGCCACCUUUCCCUCCUCCGUUCCCGCCAAAAUUUCCACGUUUCCUUUCCGGUCUAUAAAAGGAGGCAUUGGACUGCCUUCCUCCGUCAUCCAGCCUCACUUGAGAACACUACCACCGCUUUAGUCAAUAUGAGUUUGCCUUGCUCGGAUCAAAGCAUCAGGCCUAAGAAAAUGAAGAGUGCGAGUUUGCCUCGGGGUGUGGAAGCAGUUCGAUGUUGGUGCGGUGAUCUCUCCAAGGUGAAGGAGGUGGAGGAUUUUUCAGAUUGGUUGGGCAUGAAGUUUUCCAUGUGCGCCAAUUAUGAAUCUGAUCCACCCGAAUCUAUUUCUGCGUACAUCAGGCCUCCGGUAUGCUCAAGUCAUCCAGAUUAUUGUUUACUUGAUAUUAUUGUUUACUUGAAUCUGAUCCUCCUGGUAGUCUCCUCCUCCUCUCUGCAUGUACUAUCGUUGGAUUGACACGGAAAUUACGGACUGGGCGGUGACCGAGAUUCGUGAAAGAGGUCGCCGUGCAUGGGCUAGCUGGGACUUGGAAGAGCGCCGCGAGAAGGCUGAAGCAGAGGAGAAAGCAGCGCAGAAGAAAGAGUGGGAAGAGUACUGUGUGGAGCAGAGGGCUUUUCUUGAUGAGAUGAUAAGGAAAAACCAAGAAGAGAAACUACGGCUGGAGGAGGUUUACAGACAGCGGGAACAAGCCCGUGAAGCUGAGAGGGGAGAAAGAGAGAAAGAGCUCGUGCGGCCAAGGCAGCGGAAGAAGCCCGUGAUGGAAAAGGAAAAUAUCCAUGUUGGACUCAGUAGAUUUCACGAAGUUGUAUGAACAAGUUGUAUCUUAAUUUCAACAAGUUGUAUCUUAAUUUCAGCAAGUUGUAUCAACACUUGAGAAGACUAAGAUAAGGAUAAGGAUCAACAGAGUCUUGAUGAAAUGAGAAACAUAGUCUUGAUGAAACAGAGUAACAGAAUGCAAGAAAGUCUUGAUGAAAUGAGAACAAAGUGAAACUAAGACCAAGAUAUCAUCACUUGAGAACAUAGUCUUGAUGAAAUGAGAACAUAGUCUUGAUGAAAUGAGAACAAAAUGAGAACAAAGUGAAACUAAGACCAACAUAGUCUUGAUGAAACAGAGUAUCAGCACUUGAGAAGACUAAGAAUGAGCAUUACUCAUCAAAAGAGUAGCCAAGUUAUGUGGUACUCUGUUUCACAUGUGUGGCGCCUAAGGCUUAGGCGCCACACAUUCUGUCAUGCUGAAAACUGCAGCACAUAGUGGUGGAGGAGUUCAAAUAUACAUCACAAAUAUGCACAAAUAUACAACACAAUAAUACUAGAGUUAAAACAUACAACACAAAGAGGGUGGAGUUCAAACAUACAUAGGGUUCUUAAAGAACAUACGUCCGAAAGUGCAUACAUAGUGGAGUUUCAUAGUAAGAAAGCGCGCAAGCGAACAAGGUUCAACAACACAUAGGGUUCAACAACACAUAGGGUUCGAAGAUGAAAGCGUGCAUGAGAAUAGAAGCAUCCGGUUCUAUUGGGUCGAGCAAGGCCCCUUUCCCUUCUUCUUCUUCCUCUCUUCCCUUUUGCGCAUUUUUGAAGCCUCUUCCUUAACCCUCUCCGUGAAGCGUUGAUGCUCCCGCUCUCUCUUUGCUGCGCCCUCUGCCCACAUCUUCUUAAAGUUAGCUUCAUAUUCUUUUUUACGUUUCUCUAGCGUCUUCCUGUCAUUCUCCUUUAUCCUAGCCUCAUAUCUCUUAUGCUCAAGGAACAUUUGCCACUCCUCAUCCAUCUUUGCCUUAUGCUCCUCAUCCUUCUUCUUUCGCGCUUCGGCUGCAUCCUCCUCUCUCAACUUCUUUGCAGCCCUCUCCAUCAACCGCUGCUCCUCACUGGCUGCAUCCUUCUCCUCCCCCCACUCCGCUUUUGCCUUGUUGGGUUGAGAAGCGGCCAUACCUACAAAACAGGCAUCAAAGCUCAUAGUUAGUAAAAUAACACACAAAGGAGCAUGAAGAACAACAUGAUAAAGAUAAGUCAAAUAUGUGACAUACGGAAAUGGUCCUCGUAGGUAUCCACGCAUACCAAUCCUAGUAAGUCCACCACCUAUCCCACCACUGCCUCUAGCAGCACCACCACCUAUCCCACCCCCGCCUCUAGCACCANNNNNNNNNNNNNNNNNNNNNNNNNNNNNNNNNNNNNNNNNNNNNNNNNNNNNNNNNNNNNNNNNNNNNNNNNNNNNNNNNNNNNNNNNNNNNNNNNNNNAACAACCAUAAUGCAAACAUCCAAACAACCCUAAUCCUAACCCCAUCAUACCCCUUAUCCUAACAUACAAACAAAUACAACAAUAUCAUAUACAUCCCAUAUUUCAUGAAAAACUAGGGUUUCCUCAAAUUUGCAAAAAAAAGACAACAAAAGAUUUUUCUUUGGAUGAGAAUGAGGGGAGAGGUGGGGAUUACCUUAGGGGAGUGAUUGGACAACAAAUGCCCGGUCCAAACCUUCAGAUUUGGUGAUUUAGAGAAGGAUUUGAGGGAGGGGGCAGUGGCUGGGAGAGGGGGCUGGGGGAGGGGAAUGAGGAGGGGUGGGGAGGGAGGCUGACCCGUGGCCACUUAAGUCAAUGUGUGGCGCCUAAGCGUUCGGCGCCACACAUUACAAUGUCUGACGCCUGAGGCUUAGGCGUCACACGGCCUGGGGGGUGGGCCCUCCCUGCCAGGUGGUCGGGGGGUGUAGCGCCGAACGGCUAGGCGUCACACAGUGUAGUGUGGCGCCUAGGUGUCGGGCGCCACACAAAAGGGUCAGGCUGGUGAAAUUUUUUCCGCGAGGGAUCACUCCAUGAGUUNNNNNNNNNNNNNNNNNNNNNNNNNNNNNNNNNNNNNNNNNNNNNNNNNNNNNNNNNNNNNNNNNNNNNNNNNNNNNNNNNNNNNNNNNNNNNNNNNNNNAACUGGGUGACUAUAAAGAUGCUCUACAGGUAUCUCCGAAGGUGUUCGUUGAGUUAGUAUGGAUCGAGACUGGGAUUUGUCACUCCGUGUGACGGAGAGGUAUCUCGGGGCCCACUCGGUAAUACAACAUCACACACAAGCCUUGCAAGCAAUGUGACUUAGUGUAAGUUACGGGAUCUUGUAUUACGGAACGAGUAAAGAGACUUGCCGGUAAACGAGAUUGAAAUAGGUAUGCGGAUACUGACGAUCGAAUCUCGGGCAAGUAACAUACCGAAUGACAUACGGGAUUAUAUGAAUCCUUGGCACUGAGGUUCAAAUGAUAAGAUCUUCGUAGAAUAUGUAGGAUCCAAUAUGGGCAUCCAGGUCCCGCUAUUGGAUAUUCACCGAGGAGUCUCUCGGGUCAUGUCUACAUAGUUCUCGAACCCGCAGGGUCUGCACACUUAAGGUUCGACGUUGUUUUAUGCGUAUUUGCGUUAUAUGGUUGGUUACCGAAUGUUGUUCGGAGUCCCGGAUGAGAUCACGGACGUCAUNNNNNNNNNNNNNNNNNNNNNNNNNNNNNNNNNNNNNNNNNNNNNNNNNNNNNNNNNNNNNNNNNNNNNNNNNNNNNNNNNNNNNNNNNNNNNNNNNNNNNNNNNNNNNNCCUCCGAGUCUUGGGUUUUGUUUGGCCAACUAGUUCUAUGAUUCUUGUAAUGGGAGAAGUGCUUGGUUUUGGGUUCAUACCGUGCGGUGACCUUUCCCAGUGACAGAAGGGGCAGCAAGGCAUGCAUCGUGUUGUUGCCAUCAAGGGUAACAAGAUGGGCUUUCAUCAUAGAUUUGANNNNNNNNNNUGGUGACCUUUCCCAGUGACAGAAGGGGCAGCAAGGCACGCAUCAUGUUGUUGCCAUCAAGGGUAACAAGAUGGGCUUUCAUCAUAGAUUUGAGAUUUUCCAUCUACAUCAUGUCAUCUUGCUUAAGGCGUUACUCUGUUCUUAUGAACUCAAUAUACUAGAUGCAUGCUGGAUAGCGGUCGACGUGUGGAGUAAUAGUAGUAGAUGCAGAAAGUAUCGGUCUACUUNNNNNNNNNNGUCCAUCUACAUCAUGUCAUCUUUCUUAAGGCGUUACUCUGUUCUUAUGAACUCAAUACACUAGAUGCAUGCUGGAUAGCGAUCGACGUGUGGAGUAAUAGUAGUAGAUGCAGAAAGUAUCGGUCUACUUGUUUUGGACGUGAUGCCUAUAGAUAUGAUAAUUGCCAUAGAUAACGUCAUGACUUUGCGCGGUUCUAUCAAUUGCUCGGCAGUAAUUUGUUCACCCACCGUCUACUUGCUUUCACGAGAGAAGCCACUAGUGAACANNNNNNNNNNNNNNNNNNNNNNNNNNNNNNNNNNNNNNNNNNNNNNNNNNNNNNNNNNNNNNNNNNNNNNNNNNNNNNNNNNNNNNNNNNNNNNNNNNNNNNNNNNNNNNCGGCAAGUAACAUACCGAAGGACAAAGGGAAUGACAUACGGGAUUAUAUGAAUCCUUGGCACUGAGGUUCAAACGAUAAGAUCUUCGUAGAAUAUGUAGGAUCCAAUAUGGGCAUCCAGGUCCCGCUAUUGGAUAUUGACCGAGGAGUCUCUCGGGUCAUGUCUACAUAGUUCUUGAACCCGCAGGGUCUGCACACUUAAGGUUCGACGUUGUUUUAUGCGUAUUUGAGUUAUAUGGUUGGUUACCGAAUGUUGUUCGGAGUCCCGGAUGAGAUCACGGACGUCACGAGGGUUUUCGGAAUGUUCCGGAAACGAAGAUUGAUAUAUAGGAUGACCUCAUUUGAUUACCGGAAGGUUUUCGGAGUUACCCGGAAUGUACCGGGAAUGACGAAUGGGUUCCGGGAGUUCACCGGGGGGGGCAACCCACCCCGGGGAAGCCCAUAGGCCUUGAGGGUGGCACACCAGCCCUUAGUGGUCUGGUGGGACAGCCCAAAAGGGCCCUAUGCGCCAAGAAGAGAAAAUCAAAGAGAAAAGAAAAAAAAAANNNNNNNNNNNNNNNNNNNNNNNNNNNNNNNNNNNNNNNNNNNNNNNNNNNNNNNNNNNNNNNNNNNNNNNNNNNNNNNNNNNNNNNNNNNNNNNNNNNNGUUUCACAGAUAGAGUUUCGAGCAAAGAGAUCGAAAUCCACGGGUUUGAGAGAAAGAACACGAGAGAGAGAGAGGGAGACAGAGACAGAGACAGAGAGAGCUACAUGAAUUUUUUUUCUCGAGGUGAGUGAUGAAGUGGGAUGAAGGAAUAAGUGAGGGGCCCCCGAGGGGGCCACUAGAAACCUAGCCCCGCCACAAAGGCUGGCGCGCCCUGGUGUCUAGUGGCCACCUAGGUCACCGCCCUGCACUGUUUUUAGUGCCAGAAAUUGUCAAAUAUUCAGAAAAAAUCCGUGUAAAAAUUUCAUGUCAUUUGGAAUUUUUUUUUUCUUUUUUAUUGCACGGAAAAAAAUAUCAAAAAACAGGAUAAUCAUGACUUUUAUUGUAAUUAACUAAAAAUAAGAGGGAAAGAAAAGUGUGUAUAGAGAGUUGUGUGUUCUGAAUUCAUCGACCUCAUGCUUCUUGAAAAUGAUUCAUUAAUAAGGUUGAUUAAGUCUAAUUAACAACCACUUCCAAUUAGCAUGAUCCCAAAGAAUUUUCAUAAAGCACUAAGUUACCUCCAUGGGGAUGUGCAUAUCCCCAACAAUAAGUAUCUCAUAUUUAUUUUUGGCAGUAGGUAGAGGUAGUGAAACAUUCGUUGGUGCCAGUCGGAGAUUUUUCAACAACAUUAACACCAUUCACAUGAAAAGUGACCUUGCUUUUGUUAACAUCCCGUGCAGUAUUCAUGAAAGGUCUACCGAGGAUAAUUGACAUAUUGUCAUCAUCGGGCGUGUCAAGUAUAACAAAGUGUGUCAAUAUAGUAACAUUUGCAUCAACAACGGGUACACCCUCACAAGUAUCGGUAGGUAUGUGUGUUGAUUUGUCAGCCAUUUGCAAUGAAAUUUCUGUAGGUGUGAGUUUAUUCAAGUCAAGUCUUUUGUAUAAAGAAAAAAGCAUAACACUAACACCAGCUCCUAGAUCACAUAAAGCAGUUUUCACAUAGUUAUUUUUGAUGGAACAUGGUAUAGUUGGUAUUCCUACACGUCUUACAUCAUGACCAUAGAAGCAUAUUUUCCUACACGUCUUACAUCAUUGGUGAUUCUAAAUAGCAAGUCACUUAAGCGAGCAAUCAUAUCAGAGUUUUUUUCAAUUGUUUCAUGACAUAGGAGUUGAAAUGAUCUUGCUUUAUAAUAUAAUUAUCAAACUCAUAUAAACAUUGACUGGGAUGUUUAUUGUGAGGGAUGUCACCUUCAUCAAACUUUAAAAGAUAAUUUACCUCCACCACGUGGGGUCGUGUUUUGAGACCAUGGAUUACUUCAAUAGGUGGGAAAUCCUUGACAUCUUGAGCUUUAAUGCCCUUUUCCUUCACACAUUUCUUAGCCUCUUGCAUAGUUUCAGGACUAAUUUGGAGUAGGGUUAGGCGAUGGUUGAGGAAGUGUCCAUUCAUCAUAAUUUUUUAAUAUAUUAGUGUAACGCCCAAGAUGCGAUUCUAUCCUUAUUAGCUCGAGGGCCUCGACGGGUAUAGAAGCGCAUCUCGUCGUUUCGCAAGAAUGGAUAUCGUUACAAGUACAUGUACAUAAUAGAUGAGUAUAUGGAAUUGGCUUACACUCGCCACAAGCUACAUCAGAGUUGCAUCAAUACAACAACAUAAGCAGUCAUCAUGAAGAAGAGCAGGGUCUGACUGCGGACGAGAACAAACAAUAAAAGAAUGACGUCCAUCCUUGCUAUCCCAGGCUGCGGGCGUGGAACCCAUCCUAGAUCAAUGAAGAAGAAGAAGAAACCUCCAAAUAGCACAAUCAGCGCACUCACGUCAAAGUAACUAUUUAACUGUACCUACAGCUGGUGUUGUAGAAAUAUGUGAGCCACACGGACUCAGCAAUCUCAUUUCCAAAGGUAUCAACACUAGCAGAGCAUAAUGGGUGAGGUAUGGUUAAGUGGUGAGGCUGCAAGAAGCGAAUAAGCAUUUAUUUGAGGUGGCUAACUUACGAGUACAAGAAUAAGUGGGGGAUGAUCUACGCAUAAUCAGCCAUGAACUAAUAAUGAUCAAACGAAUGAUCCUGGACACCUACUUACGUCAGACAUAACCCCACCAUGUCCUCGGUCGGAGAAGGAGCUCAUGAAAGAGACUGUCACGGUUACACACUCAGUUGGCAUGUUUUAAUUAAGCUUACUUCAAAUUAUCUAGAACCGGAUGUUAAACAAAGUUUCCACGUUACCACAUAACCGCGAGCUCGACUUUCCGAAAGAUUUAACCCUGCACGGGUGCUCAACCUAUUCCAUCACAAAGUACCACACGCUACGACGGAAUGACCUCGAUCAGGGAAACCCGUGAUCUCCCUGGGUUCUUAUUGGAAAAUCUCAACCCCAAGAUAACCCAAGGAUUCUCGGAAUCCCUCGCACAACACGCUCGAGAAAGGUAAAACAAGUCAAGCAAGGCCUCCCGGCGUGUCGACAAUCCUGAUAAGAGCCGUGUAUCUCGUUCUGAGGACACGACGGAUGAGCGACGCGUACAGUGACCUCAUAGAAAUCUCCCGAGUUGCCCCGGGUUGGCCCCGCACAGUGCUCUAUUUUCGACCAGCACCAUUAGCACUGGCCCUCUCUAUAUUAUGUUGAAUUACUCCUCGGGUUCAUGACGCCCUAUGUUUUUCAGUAUUAUCAAAAUUAUUAUGUCGGGCGAAUAUAGUACCAAUGUUGGGCCUUGCCAGACGAUCUUUAUCCCAAAACAAGAAUCUAAGGGGUCCCCAUAACAACCCCAAGCAUGUUAGGAGCGCUCAUUGAUGUAACAUAACACCGGUAGCCGAAACUAAGGCGACAAAGGUGGAACAAAACACUAGGCUAGAAGGUCGAGCCUUCCACCUUUUACCGAGUAUGAAGGUGCAUUAAAUUAAAUAGCAAUUAAUGUGGUGAUAUAACAAGGAACCCAUGUUUUCACAUGGAAGCAAUUGUACCUGCAACUAGCAACGCUAACAAAGGCUGAGUAAGUGGUAACAUACCAAAACAGUGGUUUGCUCGGUUGUGGAAAGGUUAGAGGUUUUCAUGGCAAUGUUGGGAGGCUGCCAUUUAACAGGUGGUAGGCAACAAGACAUAGCAAAAGAAACGAGACAACUAGCAUGGCAAUGAUAGUAAAUAUAUCUACGGAAAUGGUCAUCUUGCUUGUAACCCCGCUUGGAAGAAGAAAGACUCCAUGAAGCAGACGAACCAACAUAGUCGAACGGAUCCUCACAUUCUGACACGCUUGCGGAACUCUAGCGAGACGAAGCAAACCGUAAACAAGAAUCAACACAUGAUUGUUGGAAAUAUGCCCUAGAGGCAAUAAUAAAUUAGUUAUUAUUAUAUUUCUUAGUUCAUGAUAAUCGUUUAUUAUCCAUGCUAUAAUUGUAUUGAUUGGAAACACAAUACUUGUGUGGAUACAUAGACAAAACACUGUCCCNNNNNNNNNNNNNNNNNNNNNNNNNNNNNNNNNNNNNNNNNNNNNNNNNNNNNNNNNNNNNNNNNNNNNNNNNNNNNNNNNNNNNNNNNNNNNNNNNNNNUUCACCGGGGGGGCAACCCACCCCGGGGAAGCCCAUAGGCCUUGAGGGAGGCACACCGACCCUUAGUGGGCUGGUGGGACAGCCCACAAGUGCCCUAUGCGCCAUAGAGAUAAAAAUCAAAGAGAAAGAAAAAAAAGGAGGAGGUGGGAAGGAAGGGGGACUCCCUCCAACCAAACCAAGUCCAACUCGGUUUGGGGGGGGAGUCCUCCCCCCUUGGGGCUCCUUGAGCCCCAAGGCAAGGUCCCCUCCCUCCCACCUAUAUAUACGGAGGUUUUAGGGCUGAUUUGAGACGACUUUUCCACAGCAGCCCGACCACAUACCUCCACAGUUUUUCCUCUAGAUCGCGUUUCUGCGGAGCUCGGGCGGAGCCUUGCUGAGACAAGGUCAUCACCAACCUCCAGAGCGCCGUCACGCUGCCGGAGAACUCUUCUACCUCUCCGUCUCUCUUGCUGGAUCNNNNNNNNNNCGAAUGGGUUCCGGGAGUUCACCGGGGGGGCAACCCACCCCGGGGAAGCCCAUAGGCCUUGAGGGUGGCAAACCGGCCCUUAGUGGGCUGGUGGGACAGCCCAAAAGGGCCCUAUGCGCUAAGAAGAGAAAAUCAAAGAGAAAAGAAAAAAAAAGGAGGUGGGAAGGAAGGGAAGGACUCCCACCCACCAAACCAAGUCCAACUCGGUUUGGGGGGGAGCCUUCCCCCCUUAGCUCGGCCGACCCCCUUGGGGCUCCUUGAGCCCCAAGGCAAGGCCCCCUCCCUCCCACCUAUAUAUACGGAGGUAUUAGGGCUGAUUUGAGACGACUUCUCCACGGCAGCCCGACCACAUACCUCCACGGUUUUUCCUCUAGAUCGCGUUUUUGCGGAGCUCGGGCGGAGCCCUACUGAGACAAGGUCAUCACCAACCUCCGGAGCGCCAUCACGCUGCCGGAGAACUCUUCUACCUCUCCGUCUCUCUUGCUGGAUCNNNNNNNNNNNNNNNNNNNNNNNNNNNNNNNNNNNNNNNNNNNNNNNNNNNNNNNNNNNNNNNNNNNNNNNNNNNNNNNNNNNNNNNNNNNNNNNNNNNNCGCUUGGGUACUGCCCUUAGUUGGACAAGAAUCCCACUUAUGAUUAACCUCUCUCGCAAGCAUCCGCAACUACAAAAGAAGAAUUAAGACAAAGUCUAACCAUAGUAUUAAACUAGUGGAUCCAAAUCAGCCCCUCAUGAAGCAACGCAUAGACUGGGGUUUAAGCUUCUGUCACUCCAGCAACCCAUCAUCUACAUACUACUCAGCAAUGCCUUCCUCUAGGCCCAAAUAUGGUGAAGUGUUAUGUAGUCGACNNNNNNNNNNGCAUAUCAAAAUACCGAACGAAUAUCAAAUUCACAUGACUAUUAUCAGCAUGUCUUAUCCCAUGUCCUCAGGAACAAAAGUAACUACUCACAAAGCAUAAUCAUAAUCAUGAUCAGAGUUGUAAUGAAUAGCAUCAAGGAUCUGAACAUAAACUCUUCCACCAAGUANNNNNNNNNNACUUAUCCCAUGUCCUCGGGAACAAAAGUAACUACCCACAAAGCAUAAUCAUAAUCAUGAUCAGAGGUGUAAUGAAUAGCAUCAAGGAUCUGAACAUAAACUCUUCCACCAAGUAAUCCAACUAGCAUAAACUACAAAGAGUAAUCAACACUACUAGUAACCUUACAAGUACCAAUCGGAGUCGUGAGACGAAGAUUGGUUACAAGAGAUGAACUAGGGAUUGGAAAGGAGAUGGUGCUGAUGAAGAUGUUGAUGAAGAUGCCUCCCCUCCGACGAGAGGAAUGUUGGUGAUGACGAUGGUGACGAUUUCCCCCUCCGGGAAGGAAGUUUCCCCGGCAGGAUCGUCCUGCCGGAGCUCUAGAUUGGAUAUGCUCAAGUCCCGCCUCGUGGCGGCGGCGAAACCACGAAAAAGCUCCCGAAUGAUUUUUUCUGGACGAAAACCCUUCAUAUAGCAAAAGAGGGGGGCUAGUGGGCCGUUAGGGAGCCCACAAGCCCCCACUCCGCCACCAGGGGGUGGCGGUGGCAGGGCUUGUGGCGCCCUGGCAGCCCCCCUCCGGUACUUCUUUCGCCCAGUAUUUUUUAUAUAAUCCCAAGAAUAUCCACGUAACUUUUCAGGGCAUUUGGAGAUGUGCAGAAUAGUGUACUAAGAUUUGCUCCUUUUCCAGUCCAGAAUUCCAGCUGCCUGAAUGCUCCCUCUUGAAAUAAACCUUGCAAAAUAAGAGAGAAAAGGCAUAAAUAUGGUACCAUAAAGUAAUAUAACAGCCCAUAAAGCAAUAAAUAUCAAUAUGAAAGCAUAAUGCAAAAUGGACGUAUCAGGAGUCAUCUCCAUCAACAUCUUCAUCAGCACCAUCUCCUCUACAAACCCUAGUUCAUCUCUUGUAACCAAUCUCCGUCUCGCGACUCUGAUUGGUACUUGUAAGGUUGCUAGUAGUGUUGAUUACUCUUUGUAGUUGAUGCUAGUUGGAUUACUUGGUGGAAGAGUUUAUGUUCAGAUCCUUGAUGCUACUCAUUACACCUCUGAUCAUGAUUAUGAUUAUGCUUUGUGAGUAGUUACUUUUGUUCAUGAGGACAUGGGAUAAGUCUUGCUAAUAAUAGUCAUGUGAAUUUGGUAUUCGUUCGGUAUUUUGAUAUGUUGUAUGUUGUCUUUUCCUCUAGUGGUGUUAUGUGAACGUCGACUACAUAACACUUCACCAUAUUUGGGCCUAGAGGAAGGCAUUGGGGAGUAGUAAGUAGAUGAUGGGUUGCUAGAGUGACAGAAGCUUAAACCCCAGUCUAUGAGUUGCUUCGUAAGGGGUUGAUUUGGAUCCACUAGUUUAAUGCUAUGGUUAGACGUUGUCUUAAUUCUUCUUUCGUAGUUGCGGAUGCUUGCGAGAGGGGUUAAUCAUAAGUGGGAUGCUUGUUCAAGUAAGGGCAGUACCCAAGUGUCGGUCCACCCACAUAUCAAACUAUCAAAGUAACGAACGCGAAUCACAUGAACAUGAUGAAACUAGCAUGACAGAAAUUCCCGUGUGUCCUCGGGAGCGUUUUUCCUCCUAUAAGACUUUUUGCAGGCUUGUCCCUUGCUACAAAAGGGAUUGGGCCACUUUGCUGCACCGUUGCUACUACUUGUUACUUGUUACUUUUGCUUGCUACGUUUCACCUGCUACACAAUCACUUGUUACCGCUACUUUCAGUGCUUGCAGUUAUUACNNNNNNNNNNUCACCUACUACGUUUCACCUCACUACACCAUCACUUGUUACCGCUACUUUCAAUGCUUGCAGUUAUUACCUUGCUGAAAACCGUUUAUCAGAGCCUUCUGCUCCUCGUUGGGUUCGACACUCUUACUUAUCGAAAGGACUACGAUUGAUCCCCUAUACUUGUGGGUCAUCAUACAUCUCCAUUACAUGUUUUAGUGGAAAUAUCAUGUGAUUAAACUAUGUUAAUGUUGUUGGGAGUUGCCAGUACUGAAAGUGUGAAGCCUAGGCCUUGUUUCUCACCAUUGUUACACCGUUUAUGCUUACUUUUGUCACUUGCUACAUUGAUAUAAUUUUCAUUACAGAUUUAUAUUACCUUGCUUUGCCACACCUAUCACCCAUAUUUNNNNNNNNNNNNNNNNNNNNNNNNNNNNNNNNNNNNNNNNNNNNNNNNNNNNNNNNNNNNNNNNNNNNNNNNNNNNNNNNNNNNNNNNNNNNNNNNNNNNAAGCUUUGACACUAAUCCGAAUAACUAUGAGUAGUGAAACGGAUUCGUAUAGUAGAGUAGAUAUUUGGAGCAGUUCCGAAUAGCACGUAGUAGCAGCAUCUAUAAGAUGACAUAAAGAUUUGUAAAGAACACACCGAUCUGAAAGUUUCAGAACCGUUGACUAAAACCUCUCUCACGAGCAAGACGUGAUCAGGCCCCAAAACUAUAUGGGUGUUGGAUUCGUUGGAAUCACAUGGUGAUGUGAACUAGAUUAUUGACUCUAGUGCAAGUGGGAGACUGUUGGAAGUAUGCCCUAGAGGAAAUAAUAAAUUAGUUAUUAUUAUAUUUCUUAGUUCAUGAUAAUCGUUUAUUAUCCAUGCUAUAAUUGUAUUGAUUGGAAACACAAUACUUGUGUGGAUACAUAGACAAAACACUGUCCCUAGUAAGCCUCUAGUUGACUAGCUCGUUGAUCAAAGAUGGUCAAGGUUUCCUGGCCAUAGGCAAGUGUUGUCACUUGAUAACGGGAUCACAUCAUUAGGAGAAUCAUGUGAUGGACUAGACCCAAACUAAUAGACGUAGCAUGUUGAUCGUGUCAUUUUGUUGCUACUGUUUUCUGCGUGUCAAGUAUUUGUUCCUAUGACCAUGAGAUCAUAUAACUCACUGACACCGGAGGAAUGCUUUGUGCGUAUCAAACGUCGCAACGUAACUGGGUGACUAUAAAGAUGCUCUACAGGUAUCUCCGAAGGUGUUAGUUGAGUUAGUAUGGAUCAAGACUGGGAUUUGUCACUCCGUGUGACGGAGAGGUAUCUCGGGGCCCACUCGGUAAUACAACAUCACACACAAGCCUUGCAAGAAAUGUAACUUAGUGUAAGUUGCGGGAUCUUGUAUUAUGGAACGAGUAAAGAGACUUGCCGGUAAACGAGAUUGAAAUAGGUAUGCGGAUACUGACGAUCAAAUCUCGGGCAAGUAACAUACCGAAGGACAAAGGGAAUAACAUACGGGAUUAUAUGAAUCCUUGGCACUGAGGUUCAAACGACAAGAUCUUCGUAGAAUAUGUAGGAUCCAAUAUGGGCAUCCAGGUCCCGCUAUUGGAUAUUGACCGAGAAGUCUCUCGGGUCAUGUCUACAUAGUUCUCGAACCCGCAGGGUCUGCACACUUAAGGUUCGACGUUGUUUUAUGCGUAUUUGAGUUAUAUGGUUGGUUACUGAAUGUUGUUCGGAGUCCCGGAUGAGAUCACGGACGUCACGAGGGUUUCCGGAAUGGUCCGCAAACGAAGAUUGAUAUAUAGGAUGACCUCAUUUGAUUACCGGAAGGUUUUCGGAGUUACCGGGAAUGUACCGGGAAUGAGGAAUGGGUUCCGGGAGUUCACCGGGGGGGCAACCCACCCCGGGGAAGCCCAUAGGCCUUGAGGGAGGCACACCGACCCUUAGUGGGCUGGUGGGACAGCCCACAAGUGCCCUAUGCGCCAUAGAGAUAAAAAUCAAAGAGAAAGAAAAAAAAGGAGGAGGUGGGAAGGAAGGGGGACUCCCUCCAACCAAACCAAGUCCAACUCGGUUUGGGGGGGGAGUCCUCCCCCCUUGGGGCUCCUUGAGCCCCAAGGCAAGGUCCCCUCCCUCCCACCUAUAUAUACGGAGGUUUUAGGGCUGAUUUGAGACGACUUUUCCACAGCAGCCCGACCACAUACCUCCACAGUUUUUCCUCUAGAUCGCGUUUCUGCGGAGCUCGGGCGGAGCCUUGCUGAGACAAGGUCAUCACCAACCUCCAGAGCGCCGUCACGCUGCCGGAGAACUCUUCUACCUCUCCGUCUCUCUUGCUGGAUCAAGAAGGCCGAGAUCAUCGUCGAGCUGUACGUGUGCUGAACGCGGAGGUGCCGUCCGUUCGGCACUAGAUCGUGGGACUGAUCGCGGGACUGUUCGCGGGGCGGAUCGAGGGACGUGAGGACGUUCCACUACAUCAACCGCGUUCUCUAACGCUUCUGCUGUACGGUCUACAAGGGUACGUAGAUCACUCAUCCCCUCUCAUAGAUGGACAUCACCAUGAUAGGUCUUCGUGCGCGUAGGAAAAUUUUUGUUUCCCGUGCGACGUUCCCCAUCAUAUUUUCCCUGGGAAUAUUCCUUUUUCCUAUUAAAGGAAUAACCCUGUUGUUCUGGGUUGUGAAGAAGCCCACAUUUCUAUCAUUCCAAAAAUUCCCAAAUAGUUCUCAUAAAUCUCUUGGGACAUAUCUUCCUCACAUAUGACAAAAUCCUUCCUUGCCAUAUUCAAAAAUAUUCCUCAAAUAUUCCUUUUCUAAUUCUGCCCUAGUUGUCAAGUUGUGAAGCAAGUACCCUUUAUAUGUGCUUGCUUGCUCUCACAAUUUGUGGGAACUCUUUCCUAUCCAUAUCAUUGCCUCAUGCCAAAAUUCAACUCAAUUUGGCUAGUAAAUAAUUCUUGGCAAAUUUCCAAAGUUUCUGAUCCAGAGCAAGCUUUGUGAAGCAAGUGCUAGUUAAGAGUAUGCAAAUGAGUUGAAACUUUGCCAUCAUCUCAAUAUGCUCAAAUAAUGACUCUCCACCAAAUUUGAGCAUCACCCCUUCAACCAUGUAACCAUAGUAUCAAAUCUUUGUCUCUGGUCAUUAUUUUGGAUUGUGGAGCAACUAUGCUUUAUGUUGCUCCAUAAUUUCUGAAAUUAUACCAGGACAUUCUCCUAUCUAUAAAACAUCUCUCCACCAAAUUUGAGCUCAUUUUAUCUAGCCAUUUCUUCCUAGUAAUUUUCCUAAGAUUUUGUCCAGUGGGAUACUGUGUGAAGGAAGUACCACUUUGGUGUAUCCAGAUGGUAUGAAAUUUAUAUAGUGUCUUCAUAAUCCAAAAUAAUUCAUAUCCUCCAAGUUUCAGCUCCAUCCAAGCCAGUAUGUGAGUGCCACAUCAAAAUCUUUAUUCUCGACCAAAUUAGUGAGUUGCAAAGCAACCCUAUUAAAUCUUGGUCCUGUGCUCCUCAAACUCCACAGAAUAGUAGUCCUUCCCACCCUAAACCUCCCAGACAUCUUAUUUGGCCCUUAUCUCCUCCCUGUUGAUCUCAGUAAUAGGACCAAGUUUGCUACAACCAACUUCCAGUGAAGCCUCCCAUCAUCUCUUGGUGUCUAAUGGUGAUCUAUCACCUCAGUAGGACCCCUCCUUGCAAGGACUAUCUGCUAGACAUGGUGCUGCAUGCAAGGGUGCACCGUGUGCACCAAUUCACGUGGUGACCACGCCUUUGGCAUGCCAUUCGCGCGCUCUGUGCAUUGGGGCCCUCGGGGUCGUCGGUUUCCUCCUCUCCUUCGCCCCCUAGGCAUGUCCAGCAGCUUCCCCUUGUUGUUUCCUUCCUCCUAGACCCCUCUCCCCCUCCAUCUUCUUCCUCGCCACGCCGCGACGAGCUCCGCCCUGUUCUGCGUGUGUCCGCCAUCGUCGUUUUCCUCCCCGAGCCUUCCGGAGCACCCCUGAGACCCCUCCAACCCUCCAUGAAGCCUCCCGACGCCGCUACCAGCCAGCCACGUCGCCCUGGAGCGUGAGUGCACGGCUAAAACCGCCACCGCGGUCGUGCUUAUUGCGCCACUGUGCCCGUGCUCGGCCACCUGUGUCGCCCCGCCUAUAAAAGCCCCCUAGUCCCUCUCGUCUUCACCACCAGCCUCGCCACUCCCCUAUGGUCCUCCCCGACCCCUCAACCCAUUGCCACCGCCUCUCCUAGCCUCCAAUGGCUGUCGGGGCCGUCGCUCGGUUCCAGCUAAAUUCCGGCGAACCCCGCCUCUUCUCUCUCUCUCCCACCACCACCGUAGACCCUCACCACCACCACGACGAGAACCCUGCCUCAAUUUUUCUCCUGGAAGUUCCAUGGACUCAGGCUUGAUCUGGCUAGUACCGCCGUCCGCUGCCGCCCAUGCUCUACUCAAGUUCGAGCUCCUUGGUAUCUGAGUCCUACGCCACUGGAUCCGCCUCCCUGCGAGGAACCCAUCCCUAGGUCGAGCGUCACCGGGGAAGGCUUGUGGCUCCGGCAAUCGUCGUCGGGAGCCACUCCUCUCCUCUGCCAUGCAGACGCGGGAGGAGGACGAAGGCCCUGCGAGCGGGCCCGAUCUGGCAGCGACUUGGUACCCUCCCUCCAUUUUUUAAGCGAUGGGGGUACGAGUGGGCCGGCCAAGUGGACAGCAGUAGCAGUGCUCGCGGCAACAACGGCCACUUUCGGCCCAAAGCAGCCCAAGAACAUAGUGCUCUUUUCUUUUAUCGGUGGAAUAAUGCUACUGCAACAAAAGACCUUCCCCGGCAACGGCGCCAAAAAUCCUUCUGGUGCUUGGCUACGCCUAUAGGGAUUUCCUUGGAAAAUAUGCAAAGGAUUCCCCCGCGGCCUUGGAGCCUUGCAUUGGUGUUCCCUUGAAGAGGAAAGGGUGAUGUAGCACAGCGGCAGUAAGUAUUUCCCUCGGUUUGAGAACCAAGGUAUCAAUCCAGUAGGAGGAUCGCGUCAAGUCACAAGUACGUGCACAAACACAAAGAGCUUGCACCCAACGCUAUGAAGGGGUUGUCAAUCCCUUAUAGAUUGUUUGCGAAGUGAGAACUGAAAGCAAAAAGUAAACAAAGCAAAGUAAAAGUAAAAGCUGAGAUGAUAGUUGUGAAUAGACCCGGGGGCCGUAGUGUUCACUAGUGGCUUCUCUCGUGAAAGCAAGUAGACGGUGGGUGAACAAAUUACUGCCGAGCAAUUGAUAGAACCGCGCAAAGUCAUGACGUUAUCUAUGGCAAUUAUCAUAUCUAUAGGCAUCACGUCCAAAACAAGUAGACCGAUACUUUCUGCAUCUACUACUAUUACUCCACACGUCGAUCGCUAUCCAGCAUGCAUCUAGUGUAUUGAGUUCAUAAGAACAGAGUAACGCCUUAAGAAAGAUGACAUGAUGUAGAUGGACAAUCUCAAAUCUAUGAUGAAAGCCCAUCUUGUUACCCUUGAUGGCAACAACACGAUGCAUGCCUUGCUGCCCCUUCUGUCACUGGGAAAGGUCACCGCACGGUAUGAACCCAAAACCAAGCACUUCUCCCAUUACAAGAAUCAUAGAACUAGUUGGCCAAACAAAACCCAAGACUCGGAGGGACUUACAAGGAUAUCAAAUCAUGCAUAUAAGAAAUCAGCAAAGACUCAAAUAUAAUUCAUAGAUAAUCUGAUCACAAAUCCACAAUUCAUCGGAUCUCGACAAACACGCCGCCAAAGAGGAUUACAUCGGAUAGAUCUCCAUGAAGAUCAUGGAGAACUUUGUAUUGAAGAUCCAAGAGAGAGAAGAAGCCAUCUAGCUACUAACUACGGACCCAUAGGUCUGAAGUGGACUACUCACGAGUCAUUGGAGAGGCAAUGAUGUUGAUGUAGAAGCCCUCCAGCUCCAAAGUAUCCUCCGGCAGGGCACCGGGAAGGGUCUCCAGAUGAGAUCUCGCGGAAACGGAAGCUUGCGGCAGCGGAAAAGUGGUUUCGUGGACCCUGAAUUUUUCUGGGAUUUUAGGGAAUAUAUAGGCCAAAGAGCUAGGGCAGGGGAGCGCUAGGGAGGCCACAAGCCUGGUGGCCGCGGCCCCCCUGGCCGCGACGACAGGGCUUGUGGGCUCCGUGUGGGCCCCCUGCCUUGUCCCUCAAGUCCCCCGAUCUUCUUCCGUUCUGGAAAAAUUUAUUUCGGGGAUUUUAUUCCGUUUGGACUCCGUUCCAAAAUUAGAUCUGAAACGAGUCAAAAACACACCAAAAAAAUAGGAACUGGCACUUGGCACUGAAUCAAUAAGUUAGUCCCAAAAAAGAUAUAAAAGGUAUAUAAAACAUCCAAAGUUGACAAGAUAACAACAUGAAACCAUAAAAAAUUAUAGAUACGUUUGAGACGUAUCAAGCAUCCCCAAGCUUAACUCGUGCUCGUCCUCGAGUAGGGAAGUGAUAAAUAAUGAAUUUUUGAUGCUUUCAUGCUACCUAGCAUAGAUGUCCUUUGUAACUCCUCUUAUGUGACGUGAAUGUUCAGAUCCAUUAGAUUCAAAACAAUAGUUUGCUAUUGACGUGGAGACAAUAAUACUUCAAGCAAACUAGCAAGGUAAUCAUGAACUUUCAAAAUAACAAGGCCAAAAGAAAGUUAUCCCUACAAAAUCAUAUAGUCUGGCUAUGCUCUAUCAUCCUUGCACAACGAAUUUAAAUCACGCACAACCUCGGUAUUGGCCAAGUAAUUGUUUUCACACCUUUACUUUCUCAAACCUUUUCAACUCUCACGCAAUACAUGAGCGUGAGCCAUGGUUUUAGCACUAUAAGUGGAAUGGAGUGUGGUGGAGGUUGCAAGGCAAACAAGGAGAAGAUGGUCACAUUGACUAGGCAUAUCAACGAGCUAUGGAGAUGCUCAUCAAUAGAUAUCAACGUGAAUGAGUAGGGAUUGCCAUACAAAUGAUGCACUAGAGCUAAGAGUAUGUGAAAGCUCUUAAAGAAAACUAGUGGGUGUGCAUCCAACUUGCUUGCUCACGAAGACCUAAGGCAAUUUUGAGGAAGCCUACAUUGGAAUAUACAAGCCAAGUUAUAUAAUGAAAAUUUCCCACUAGCUAUAUGGUGGUGACAAAACGAGAGACUCUCAAUCAUGAAGAUCAUGGUGCUUAAUAAGCACAAGUGUGGAAAGAUAGUAGCACUGUCCCUUCUCUCCUUUUCUCUCAUUUUUUGGUGGUCUCUUUGGCCUCUUUAUAUAUAUAUAUAUAUAUAUAUAUAUAUAUUAUUUUUGUGGGCAUCUUUGGCCUCUUUUUGUAAAAUGGGCUUCGCUGGCCUCUUUUAUUUCCUCACAUGGGACAAUGCUCCAUCAAUGAUGAUCAUCACACUUACAACUCAGAACUUAGAGCAAUGAUGACUCUAUAAGGAAUGCCUUGGGUAGUGUACCACGACAAUGAUCUAGCAUGGCAUAGACAUCAAGGGAAACAUCAUGCUAGCUAUCUGAUGAUCAUGCAAUGGCAAUGUAGGAGUGGUGGCACAUGUCAUGGUGGUAGUUGCAUGGCAAUAUAUCUCAGAAUGGCUUUGAAAAAGCCAUAGUAGGUAGGUAUGGUGGCUGUUUUGAGGGAGGCUAAUGGUGGUUUUAUGCACCGGUGAAAGUUGCACGACACUAAAGAAGAUAGUGAUGGUGGAAGGUGAAAGUGCAUCUAAACCAUGGACUCAACAUUAGUCAUGAAGAACUCAUAUACUUGUUGCAAAAGUUUUAGUAGUAAUCGAAACAAAGCAUUCAACGCAUACUCCUAGGGGAAGGGUUGGUAGGUAUAAACCAUCGCGCGAUCCCGACCGCUACACAAAGGAUGACAAUCAAUAAACUAAUCAUGCUCAGACUUCAUCACAUAGCGGUUCACCAUACGUGCAUGCUACGGGAAUCACUAACUUCAACACAAGUAUUUCUAGAUCCACAACACCUUACUAAUAUAACUUCAAUAUUACCACAACCACAACUCAAAACUAAUUGAGAUGAAUCAAACUUCUCUAACUAUUCAAUGCACAUGAAGGUGGAAGUUUUCAUAUCCCUUUGGAUAAGUACCCCCUUUGAGACUACUUUCAUAGCAUAGAUCAACUACCACGCCACGCACUUCCGUGCUCUAAAAGAUAGAAGUGAAACACAUAGAGCAAAAUCAACUAGCUCAAAAGAUAUAAGUGAAACACAUGUGAGCUGAAUUGCCUAAUCAAAGGAUAUAAGUGAAGCUCGACAAAAUCACGGUGAGUGCAUGUAUCUCUCUCUAGGUGUGCAGAAAGGAAGAUUGUGACAAAAAAAAGACUCCUACGAUACAAGACGCUCCAAGCAAAACACAUAACAUGUGGUGAAUAAAAAUAUAGCCCCAAGUAAUGUUACCGAUUGAUUGAAGACGAAAGAGGGGAUGCCUUCCCGGGGCAUCCCCAAGCUUAGGCUUUUUCGGCAUCCUUGAAUCUACUUGGGGUGCCUUGGGCAUCCCCAAGCUUGAGCUCUUCCCUCUCUUUAUCUCUUUGUCCAUAAGAACUUCACCCAAAACUUGAAAACUUCACAACACGAAACUUAAACAGAAACUCGUGAUAACAUUAGUAAAAGAAAGCAAACCACCACUUCCUUAGGUACUGUAGCAAACUUAAAUUCUACUUAUGUUGAUGUUGGGUAACUGUAUUUUUAAUCUUCCAUGGCUAAUACCCCCGAUACUAUCCAUAGUUUCAUCAAAAUAAGCAACCAACUCAACAAAAACAGAAUCUGUUAACAACAGACUAGUCUGUAGCAAUCUGUAUACUUCUGGUACUUCAAAAAUUCUGAAAAAUUACGACAGACUGAAGAAUUUGCAUAGCAAUCAGCAGAAAAAAGAAUCAACUCAAAAUCUCUCACAGAAAAAAAAUGAAAAUUCUUUUCGUGAGCAGAAAGUUUCUGUCUUUUCCAGCAUGACCAAACGAUCAUCCCCAAGACUAAUCAUAACGGUUUCACUUGGCACAAACGCAAAAGAAACACAAAAAACACAAUCAUAACAGAAUUAUGAAAGUGUGUAAAACACAAAACAGAAAGAAAAAUGAUAGAUUCGUUGGGUUGCCUCCCAACAAGCGCUAUUGUUUAACGCCCUUAGCUAGGUAUAAGGUGAUGGAAUCACGUAUAGUCAUCUUUGGUGCUCAAACCAUAAGUACCCCUCAUCAUAGAUUCAUAAGGCAAUCUUAUUUUCUUUCUAGGAAAAUGCUCCAUGCCCUUCUUUAGAGGAAAUUGAAAUCUAAUAUUCCCUUCCUUCAUAUUGAUGAUAGCACCAAUAGUCCUUAGGAAAGGUCUACCAAGAAUAAUGGGACAUGAAGGAUUGCAAUCUAUGUCAAGUACAAUGAAAUCCACGGGUACAUAGUUCUUAUUUGCAACAAUAAGAACAUCAUUGAUCCUCCCAUGGGUUUCUUGACAGUAGAAUCUGCAAGAUGCAAAUUAAGAGAACACUCUUCAAUCUCAUGAAAACCAAGAAUAUCACAUAAAGACUUUGGAAUCGCGGAAACACCAGCACCCAAAUCACACAAAGCAUUGCAUUCAUAGUUUUUGAUUUUGAUUUUUAUAGUAGGUUCCCACUCAUCAUGAAGUUUUCUAGGUAUAGAGACUUCUAAUUCUAGUUUCUCUUCAAGAGAUUUAAUCAUAGCAUCUUGAUUGCAAUCUCUGGCGUUAACUAGACGAAUGCUUAUAACAACAAACCUUCUCCUGCAAUGGCACCAGAAGAAUGCUGAUAGCACUCCCCGGUAAUGAAACUGGAAGAAUGUUGUUGAUGGCCCACCAGUGCGUGGGUUCGCAGCAGUUUUCGAGGGUAGAGUAUUCGACCCAAUUUGUUGAUAAGCCCGUCAGGAGGUGAGAGUAUACUCUCAAGUAUUAGCAGCUGAAUUUGUCGGAUUCAACCACACCUGAAAGAUUAGUAUCUGCAAGCACAGUAGUAACAACAAAGUAACGAGUAAUGGCAGUGUAACGAGCAAUAGCAGCGGCAAGGAACAGCAGUAGUGACAGCAAUAGCAAGUAGAAAUAGUAGCAAGCGACAGUAGUAGCAACAACAGAGCAAGACAAGUAACAGCAGUAGCAACAGUAGUAGCAGCAACAGAGCAAGACAAAUAACAACAGUAGCAACAGUGGUAGUAGCAGCAGAGCAAGACAAGUAACAACAGCAGCAACAGUAGGACAAACUCGUAGGCAAUGGGUCGGUGAUUUGUUUGGAUGAUAUUCAUCAUGCAACAGCUAUAACACGGAGAGAUAAGUGGCUAGCUCCCGUUCGUCAAUGUGAUGUAGGCAUGCAUUCCGUGUGUCGUCAUACGUGCUUAGGGAAAAGAACUUGCAUGACAUCUAUUGUACAUCCCUCCCGUGGCAGCGGGGUCCAAAAGGAAACUACGGGAUAUUAAGGUUCUCCUUUUAAUAAAGAACCGGACCAACGCAUUAGCACUUGGUGAACACAUGAACUCCUCAAACUAUGGUCAUCACCGGGAGUGGUUCCGGUUAUUGUCACUCCGGGGUUGCCGGAUCAUAACACAUAGUAGAUAACUACAACUUGCAAGAUCGGAUCUAAAACACACAUAUAUUGGUGACAACAUAAUAAUUUCAGAUCUGAAAUCAUGGCACUCGGGCCCUAGUGACAAGCAUUAAGCAUGGCAAAGUAGUAGCAACAUCAAUCUCGGAACAUAGUGGAUACUAGGGAUCAAUCCCCAUCAAAACUAACUCGAUUACAUGAUAGAUCUCAUCCUACUCAUCACCGCCCAGCGAGCCUACGAGUAGAUUACUCACGAACGAUGAAGAGCUUCAUGGAAUUGGAGAGGGAAGAAGGUUGAUGAUGACGAUGGCGACGAUUUCCCCUCUCCGGAGCCCAAGACGGACUCCAGAUCUGACCUCCAGAUGAAGAACAGGUGGUGGCGGCGCCUUAGUAUCGAAAACGCGACGAAAACUUCUCUCUUUGUUUUUUCUGGGACGAAAGGCAACUUAUAGAGCUAGAGUUGGGGGCGCCAGGUGCCUGUGGGCCCCACAAGCCUGCCCACCGCCACCAGGGGGUGGUGGCGGAGCAGGGGCUUGUGGCCCACUGGCCCACCCCCUGAGGUGGAACUUGGCACAGAUAUUUUUGAUAUUUUCCAAAACUGCCCCGCGUAAAUUUUCAGUACGUUUGGAGAACUUUGAUUUCUGCACAAAAAUUACACCAAGGCAAUUCUGCUAAAAAUAGCGUCAGUCCAGGUUAGUUCCAUUCAAAUCAUGCAAAUUAGAGUCCAAAACAAGGGCAAAAGAGUUUGGAAAAGUAGAUACGAUGGAUACGUAUCAACUCCCCAAGCUUAAAACCUUGCUUGUCCCCAAGCAACUCAGCUGACAAACUAAGAGAGAAAUAAAAACUUUGACAAACUCUGUUUGAUCUUGUUGUUGCAACUAUGUCUAACUCAUAACCAGAGUUUCAGCAAGAUCACAAGUUAACCACAUAAGCAAAUGACACGAAGGUCUCACGGUAAACUAAUAUCAAUGGCAUAAUCAGCUAACGAGCAAAUAAUAAUGAGUUUCAAAUACCAACACUUCAAUCAAAACAAGCAUGAAGCAAUAUGAAUAGGUGGAAUCUCGCUAGCUCUUUGUGAGACCGCAAAACAUAAAUGCAGAGCACUUUCAAAGAUCAAGGGCUGACUAAACAUUGUAAUUGAUAGCAACGAAGAUCCAGUCAUAGUCAUACUCAAUAUCAAUCAAAAGCGAAGCAUAAAAAUGACAGAGGUGCUCUCUAAUUGGUGCUUAUAUAAUAGGAGGAUGACUCGACAGGAAAAUAAAUAGACAGGCCCUUCGCAGAGGGAAGCAUUGAUUUGCAGAGGUGCUAGAGCUCAAGCUUUGAAAACAGAGAAUAAUUUUGGGUGGCAUGCUUUCAUUGUCAACGCAAUGACCAAGAGUUCGCAAUAUCUUCCAUGCUACUCAUGCUAUAGGCGGUUCCCAAACAGAAAAGUAAAGUUUUAACUCCCCCACCACCAAUCAAUCACACUCCACGGCUAGCCGAAUCCUCGGGUACUGUCCAUACUAACAUCAAUCCGGGGGGAGUCUUGUUUUACUGUUUUGUUUUCGAUUUAAGCAUGGAACUGGGCAUCCCAAAUACCGGCUCCUUUCUCAUGAAUGACUGUGAAUAAACACAUGUCGAGGAUAACACUCCUAGCAUGGAAGAUACCAAUAGCCCUCUGUCACCACAUGAGCGGUUCGGGCAUGCAAAACAGAUUUAUUUCUUGAAGGUUUAGAGAGUGGCACAUGCAAAUUUACUUGGGACGGCAGGUAGAUACCACAAAUAGGUAGGUAUGGUGGACUCUCAUGGAAAGACUUUUGGGUUUAUGGAAGUGGAUGCACAAACAGUAUUCCCGCUUAGUACAAGCGAAGGAUAGCAAAAGAUCGGGAAGCGACCAACUAGAGAGCGACAACAGUCAUCAAGAUGCAAUGAGUUUGACUAACAUUAGAUGCAAGCAUGAACAGGAUAUAAAUCACCAUGAACAUGAACAUCAUAGAGGCUAUGUUGAUUUUGUUUCAACUACAUGCAUGAACAUGCGCCAAGUCAAGCCACUUGAAACAUUCAAAGGAGAAUACCAUCCUAUCAUACUACAUCACAGUCAUCUCAAAAUCUAUGUUGGCAAUCAAGACAAACCGUUAUAAGCUCUCAGCUAAAUAAGCAUGGCAUCAGAAACUAUGAUCUCUAAGUUGUCAUUGCAAACAUGGUUUUCUCACAACAAAGCUAAAUCUGGGUCGACAAGCUAGUCAUAUUUACAAAAACAAAAUAGAUAGAGUUCAUACCAGCUUUUCAGUCUCAGUCACUUCAUCAUAUACCAUCAUUGUUGCCUUUCAUUUGCACGAUCGAACGAUGAAAACGAUAAUAAGCGCAUUGGACUAAGCUGAAUCUGCAGACAAACACAAAGGAGAAGACAAAAUAAUAUGGCUCUUUGAAAGCUAAACAGGUAAGCAUGCAAGAACCAAUAAACAUUGUGACCAAUAUCUUCUACCUUGACACAAAGAAAAAGAAAGCUAUUUACACGGGAAAGCUCCCAAUAAGCAAAAGAAAAAAGAAAAUUCUUUUUGGGUUUUCUCAAAAGGACACAAAAACAAGAAAACGAAAAGAAACUAACAUGGAUAAUACAGUGGAAAAGUGUAAACACCGACUAACAAAGUGAAAGCAUAAGCAUGAAUGUAAAGUCGGUGAGAACACGUACUCCCCCAAGCUUAGGCUUUUGGCCUAGCUUGGUCUACUCCCAUGGUGGGAAAUAACCAGCUCCAGGAUACUCCGGAGCAGACUGCAGAUGCCACUGCUGUGCGAGCUCCUCUGGCUCCCACUGAUAAACUGGCGUCUGGUACUCGACUGGCGGCUCGGGCACGGGUGCCUGUGGUUGGGCCAAGCCCCAAUAUGCGUAGAUGUCCGCGGGCAUAAUAGUGUACCUACCUGCAUGAAGAUCAAACAAAGAAGGAGCAGGCAAAGUAAUAGUCUCUCGAGUACCCUGACUAAAUACCAGGUUAUAAAUCAUCCGUCUACUAGCAUCUCUAUCCAGAAAAUCAUGGCGAACCAUGCUAUCAUAAUACAGAUAUCUCUCAGGGAGGAGCAUCUCUCCUUCCUCUCCCAGUCUAAUGGGUAUCUCAAAGUGUCUGGCAUGACGGGUAGCAUAGAUACCUCCAUAGACGACACCCUUGGAACGGUUCAGGUUCAACCAUUGAGCUACUAUAGCGCCCAGGCUAUAGGUCUUAUCGUUAUAAAGGCCUUCGCGCAAAACCGCAAGGUCUGGAGAACUAAGUGAUCCAGCCUCCCCAUGGCCAAUCAAACAUUUUCCCACAAAUAGUGAGAAGUACCGAAGCACAGGAAAAUGUAUGCUAGCAAUUCUAGCGCGAUACACUCCUCUAUCCUCUCCAACAGCAAUAGAACCAAUGAAAUCCUCCAAGUCCCAUGGACGAGGGUCACGGAUAUCCCCAACAUAAGGUAAUUUGCAUACAUUGCAAAAAUCCUGUAGCGUCAUGCACUGGGGAACAUCGUAUAUCAUGAACUCAACCAUGGGAGGAUUCUUCCUCGGAUAAAAGUUGAAGCUUCGAACGAAAAUAUUGGCGAGGAGGAGAUAUUGUGGGCACUUAUCUUCAACGAACGCAGUAAUACCUGCGUUCUCCAUCAAGUAAUAAAAGUCUGCAUAAAGUCCGGCGGCGCGCAAAAAUUCAUCACUUGGCCACUCGCACGCUCGUACUUCUGUGACUCGAGGGACUAUGUACUUGGGGUGGUUCUUCUCAUCCUCCUUGUGGUUACGGCUUGAAGAGCCUCUUAAGAACCUCCUCAUCUUUUCCUUUUUCUAGCUCUGAAAAAUUCUGAAAUUUUUAGAGACUUCGAAAGAAAAGUGAACAAGGAUCAACCCAACUUGUAGCAACUACUCCUACUAGUGCCUAGAGACCGUAUCAUGCGCUAAAACUACUUGGAACCAGCUAAAAUCAACAUUUAUAGCUCAAGAACAGGGUCACCAAGGUAGCAAGAAUUCGCGAAGGAUAAAGCACUAGAGCAAAAACUAAUUGGACCAAUGGAGGAGUCACUUACCAAGGAGCAAUUUCCCCAAAACAGUUCGGAGAAUGGUGCUUUGAGCAAGGAGAUCGAAAAUCACAGCCAAAUGAGCAAGAACACGGGUUUGAGCUACGAAACAAUUUUUCUGGAGGUGGAAGAAGAGGCUGGGAGCUGGAAUGAGUGGAGGGGGUGCCUGUGGGCUCCACAAGCUUGCACCCCGCCACCAGGGGGGUAGGUGGUGGGGGGGGCUUGUGGACCACUGGUCAGGCCCCGUGGCCAGCUCUCAGGCCCAGAAAUUUUCAAAAAUUCCAGAAAAAAUCAUACUAAAUUUUCAGGACCAUCGGAGAACUUUUAUUUUCGAGGUAAUUUUCUCCGGGACGCUAAAACAGAAAACAGGAAAAGCUAAACUAAUUCUAUCAUUUUUCUUCUAAGCAACAGAAAAAGAAAGCUUAAAACAGAUGUAUGUGACUCUCUGAUUCAUCCAUUUCAUGGUCAUCGAAAGAAAUCCGUCAAUGGGAUUGAUCAAGUCCUUAUGACAAAACCUUCUCGAAUUGCAAGAGAGAACGGAGAAUUUUCGAAUAGCCACUAAGUCACCUCAAUGGGAUAUGUAUCUCCCCAACAAGCAAAUCAUAGUUCAUCUUGACACGAGGAAUAGGGCAUUCAAAGCUCCCAAUGACAAUCGAUGAAGUCUUUUCGAUAGCAUUGAUGCAAUGUACUGGAUAUCGUUUCUUUGGAAAGUGCACUGUGUGCUCAUUACCGUUGACGUGGAAAGUGACAUUGCCUUUGUUGCGAUCUAUAACAGCCCCUGCAGUGUUUAAAAAGGGUCUUCCGAGGAUAAUAGCCAUGGCAUCAUCCUCGGGGAUAUCCAAGAUGACAAAGUCUGUUAAGAUAGUGGUAUUAUUAACCACAAUAGGCACAUCCUCGCAAAUGCCGAUAGGGAAAGCAGUUGACUUGUCGGCCAUUUGCAGAGAAAUUUCAGUGGGUGUCAACUUAUCCAACUCAAGUCUACGAUAAAGAGAGAGUGGCAUAACACUAAAACGGCUCCAAGGUCACAUAAGGAAGUUCUUACGUAGUUUCCUUUAAUGGAGCAAGGUAUAGUGGGCACUCCGGGAUCACCAAGUUUCUUAGGAGUUCCACCUUUGAAAGUGUAAUUGGCAAGCAUGGUGGAGAUCUCAAGAUCUGGUAUCUUCCGUUUAUUAGUCACGAUAUCUUUCAUGUACUUGGCAUACGGAGACAUCUUGAGCAUACCAGUUAACCGCAUCUGCAGAAAGACGAGUCUUAUCAUCUCAACGAAGCGCUCAAAAUCCUCCUCAUCCUUUUUCUUGGAUGGCUUAGGAGGAAAGGGCAUAGGUCUCUGAACCCAUGGCUCUCUUUCUUUACCAUGCUUCCUAGCAGUGGAGUCAUUCUUGUCGUAUCUCUUAGGUUGUGGAUUAUCAGGAUUAACCAUAGGUUCAAUCUCCACAUCUUCAUCAUUGCUAGGUUGAGCAUUAUUAUGAACAUCACUGUCCAUAUUGUCACCAGGUUCAUGUUCAUCACUAGAUUCUGUUUCCGCAUCAGACGCAGAAAUAUCAUUAGGUUCUUCAGGUGU